This 124-nucleotide small nucleolar RNA is filed under the name Nicotiana sylvestris (wood tobacco). RNAcentral describes it as "Small nucleolar RNA SNORD14". It matches the Rfam family "Small nucleolar RNA SNORD14". From Rfam's summary of the family: U14 small nucleolar RNA (U14 snoRNA) is required for early cleavages of eukaryotic precursor rRNAs. Lineage: Eukaryota; Viridiplantae; Streptophyta; Magnoliopsida; Solanales; Solanaceae. The record is from Rfam by way of RNAcentral.
UGUCUAUGAUGACAAAUUUUAAGGCUUGUUUCUCAAAACAUUCGCAGUGGCCGCCUAAGUGCUUUUGCCUUCGCCUGGCUUGAGAGUUUAUGCUGCUUUUAUCCUUCCUUGGAUGUCUGAGACA